ACAGUGGACGCGAGCAUCUGUGGCCAAGUUUUUAAGGGCGCACGGUGGAUGCCUUGGCACCAGGAACCGAUGAAGG
RNAcentral lists this ribosomal RNA (76 nucleotides) under Streptomyces sp. XY431. Its description in RNAcentral is "partial 23S ribosomal RNA". The record is from RNAcentral. Lineage: Bacteria; Bacillati; Actinomycetota; Actinomycetes; Kitasatosporales; Streptomycetaceae.